AGGGUUGCGUGUGGACAUCUGC
This 22-nucleotide microRNA is filed under the name Eptatretus burgeri (inshore hagfish). RNAcentral's name for it is "Ebu-Mir-219-P6_3p (mature (co-guide))". The record is from RNAcentral. Lineage: Eukaryota; Metazoa; Chordata; Myxini; Myxiniformes; Myxinidae.